Molecule: ribosomal RNA, 255 nt
Filed under: uncultured archaeon
Lineage: Archaea
Description: partial 16S ribosomal RNA
Rfam family: Archaeal small subunit ribosomal RNA
Source: RNAcentral
CAGCCGUAAACUAUGCGCGUUAGGUGUACUGGUGACCACGAGUCACCGGGGUGCCGAAGGGAAACCGUGAAACGUGCCGCCUGGGAAGUACGGUCGCAAGGCUGAAACUUAAAGGAAUUGGCGGGGGGAGGCACCACAACGGGUGGAGCCUGCGGUUUAAUUUGGACUCAACGCCGGAAAUCUCACCGGAUAGGACAGACAUAUGAUAGUCGGGCUGAAGACUCUACUUGAUGAUCUGAGAGGUGGUGCAUGGCG